GCCCAGACUCCUACGGGAGGCAGCAGUGGGGGAUAUUGCACAAUGGGGGGAACCCUGAUGCAGCGACGCCGCGUGGGUGAAGAAGCGCCUCGGCGCGUAAAGCCCUGUCAGCAGGGAAGAAAAUGACGGUACCUGACUAAGAAGCCCCGGCUAACUACGUGCCAGCAGCCGCGGUAAUACGUAGGGGGCAAGCGUUAUCCGGAUUUACUGGGUGUAAAGGGAGCGUAGACGGCGAUGCAAGCCAGAUGUGAAAGCCCGGGGCUCAACCCCGGGACUGCAUUUGGAACUGUAUAGCUAGAGUGUCGGAGAGGCAGGCGGAAUUCCUAGUGUAGCGGUGAAAUGCGUAGAUAUCAGGAGGAACACCGGUGGCGAAGGCGGCCUGCUGGACUGCAACUGACGUUGAGGCCCGAAAGCGUGGGGAGCAAACAGGAUUAGAUACCCCGGUA
RNAcentral lists this ribosomal RNA (446 nucleotides) under uncultured bacterium. RNAcentral's name for it is "bacterial SSU rRNA". It matches the Rfam family "Bacterial small subunit ribosomal RNA", at positions 329 to 792 of the family's 1533-position model. The record is from RNAcentral.